Molecule: ribosomal RNA, 302 nt
Filed under: uncultured bacterium
Lineage: Bacteria
Description: partial 16S ribosomal RNA
Rfam family: Bacterial small subunit ribosomal RNA
Source: RNAcentral
GCAGCAGCCGCGGUAAUACGUAGGGUGCGAGCGUUAAUCGGAAUUACUGGGCGUAAAGCGUGCGCAGGCGGUUUUGUAAGACAGGCGUGAAAUCCCCGGGCUCAACCUGGGAAUGGCGCUUGUGACUGCAAAGCUAGAGUGCGGCAGAGGGGGAUGGAAUUCCGCGUGUAGCAGUGAAAUGCGUAGAUAUGCGGAGGAACACCGAUGGCGAAGGCAAUCCCCUGGGCCUGCACUGACGCUCAUGCACGAAAGCGUGGGGAGCAAACAAGAUUAGAUACCCCCGUAGUCCCUGUCUCUUAUAC